RNAcentral lists this ribosomal RNA (612 nucleotides) under uncultured marine picoplankton. Its description in RNAcentral is "SSU rRNA". It matches the Rfam family "Eukaryotic small subunit ribosomal RNA", at positions 630 to 1264 of the family's 1831-position model. The record is from RNAcentral.
GUAGUUGAACUUCUGGCUGUUGCGUUCGCCGGCUUCGGUCGCGUCCGUAGCGGUCAUCCGCUUGGGAACUCCAUUCGAACUUUACUGUUCGGUGGAAGGAACAGGCAUUUUACUUUGAAAAAAUUAGAGUGUUCAAGGCAGGCUAUCGCCCUGAAUACACAAGCAUGGAAUAAUGAAAUAGGACUUUUUCCAUUUUACUGGUUAUUGGAAUUAGUAAUGAUUAAUAGGGACAGUUGGGGGCAUUAGUAUUUAAUAGUCAGAGGUGAAAUUCUUGGAUUUAUUAAAGACUAACUUAUGCGAAAGCAUUUGCCAAGGAUGUUUUCAUUAAUCAAGAACGAAAGUUAGGGGAUCAAAGACGAUCAGAUACCGUCCUAGUCUUAACUAUAAACUAUACCGACUAGGGAUUGGCCGGGAGUUUUCAACCCGGUCAGCACCUUAUGAGAAAUCAAAGUCUAUGGGUUCUGGGGGGAGUAUGGUCGCAAGGCUGAAACUUAAAGGAAUUGACGGAAGGGCACCACCAGGAGUGGAGCCUGCGGCUUAAUUUGACUCAACACGGGAAAACUUACCAGGUCCGGACAUAGUAAGGAUUGACAGAUUGAUAGCUCUUUCUUG